RNAcentral lists this ribosomal RNA (324 nucleotides) under uncultured bacterium. RNAcentral's name for it is "bacterial SSU rRNA". It matches the Rfam family "Bacterial small subunit ribosomal RNA", at positions 524 to 776 of the family's 1533-position model. The record is from RNAcentral.
UACAGAUGGAGCAAGCUUCCUGCGUUUUGAUUAGGUUUACAGCGUGUGGCAGCGUUUAUUGUUAUAGAAAGUGCCGUUAUAUGGUGGUUACACCAUCCCUAUAGACAGGAAGUCAUUGCUUUAAAGCUUUGACUCCCUGUCCAUCAACCCCAGCAGCUAUCACUUCAGGGGUUGGAAGCCGGGUUUCAAAUAACGUGAUGAAAAAGGUAAAGGAAUUUUCCAUGAAUCGGUCAAAUGAUAGAAUAUGGGAAGGAACGCCAAAGGCGAAGGCAUUUACUAAACUAUAACAGAAGCCCAAACACGGAAGUCCGAGGAGCAAAACGG